This is a long non-coding RNA of Vitis vinifera (wine grape), 322 nucleotides long. RefSeq lists it as uncharacterized. The transcript has 3 exons. The record is from RefSeq and is a predicted model, not a curated record. Lineage: Eukaryota; Viridiplantae; Streptophyta; Magnoliopsida; Vitales; Vitaceae.
UAAUUUUUUAUCCUACAAUUAUUGCUUCAAAGUUUGGUAAUAAAAAAAACAUAUUCUCAAGUAGAAUUCGAUGAAAUUAGAGGAGAAUGGGCUACUUUUGUGCUACAACUAAUCAUGAAUCAUGUUGAUGCAUCAUGAUCACCAUGCAUGGUAUACACUCUUGGGAGGGUGAAAUGGAGAAUAAAAAGAAAGAAGAAGGCAACAAGAUUUUGGGUUUUUAAAUGCAACUCUUAUGUCAUACGUUGUAGGACAUAAACGUUACUUUAAUUGCAAUUGAGAAAUUUAGAUUUUUAGAUGGGACUUCUAUGUCAUUUUAUGGUUA